This 492-nucleotide ribosomal RNA is filed under the name uncultured bacterium. RNAcentral's name for it is "partial 16S ribosomal RNA". It matches the Rfam family "Bacterial small subunit ribosomal RNA", at positions 29 to 507 of the family's 1533-position model. The record is from RNAcentral.
AGUGAACGCUGGCGGUAGGCCUAACACAUGCAAGUCGAACGGCAGCACAGUAAGAGCUUGCUCUUACGGGUGGCGAGUGGCGGACGGGUGAGGAAUACAUCGGAAUCUACUUUUUCGUGGGGGAUAACGUAGGGAAACUUACGCUAAUACCGCAUACGACCUACGGGUGAAAGCAGGGGAUCUUCGGACCUUGCGCGAUUGAAUGAGCCGAUGUCGGAGUAGCUAGUUGGCGGGGUAAAGGCCCACCAAGGCGACGAUCCGUAGCUGGUCUGAGAGGAUGGUCGGCGACACUGGAACUGGGACACGGUCCAGACUCCUACGGGAGGCAGCAGUGGGGAAUAUUGGACAAUGGGCGCAAGCCUGAUCCAGCCAUACCGCGUGGGUGAAGGAGGCCUUCGGGUUGUAAAGCCCUUUUGUUGGGAAAGAAAAGCAGCAGGUUAAGACCCCGCUGUCCUGACGGUACCCAAAGAAUAAGCACCGGCUAACUUCGUG